AUUGAACGCUGGCGGAAUGCUUUACACAUGCAAGUCGAACGGCAGCACGGGGGCAGCCCUGGUGGCGAGUGGCGAACGGGUGAGUAAUACAUCGGAACGUGCCCGGUCGUGGGGGAUAACGUAGCGAAAGUUACGCUAAUACCGCAUGCGAUCUGAGGAUGAAAGCGGGGGACCUUCGGGCCUCGCCCGAUCGGAGCGGCCGAUGUCAGAUUAGGUAGUUGGUGGGGUAAAGGCCUACCAAGCCGACGAUCUGUAGCUGGUCUGAGAGGACGACCAGCCACACUGGGACUGAGACACGGCCCAGACUCCUACGGGAGGCAGCAGUGGGGAAUUUUGGACAAUGGGCGCAAGCCUGAUCCAGCCAUUCCGCGUGCAGGACGAAGGCCUUCGGGUUGUAAACUGCUUUUGUACGGAACGAAAAGGCUCUGGCUAAUACCUGGGGCUCAUGACGGUACCGUAAGAAUAAGCACCGGCUAACUACGUG
RNAcentral lists this ribosomal RNA (484 nucleotides) under uncultured bacterium. Its description in RNAcentral is "partial 16S ribosomal RNA". It matches the Rfam family "Bacterial small subunit ribosomal RNA", at positions 30 to 507 of the family's 1533-position model. The record is from RNAcentral.